RNAcentral lists this ribosomal RNA (1110 nucleotides) under uncultured Cryomonadida. RNAcentral's name for it is "SSU rRNA". It matches the Rfam family "Eukaryotic small subunit ribosomal RNA", at positions 110 to 1211 of the family's 1831-position model. The record is from RNAcentral. Lineage: Eukaryota; Cercozoa; Thecofilosea.
GCAUAAUUUAUUUGAUGUUUUCUUACUACAUGGAUAACUGUAGUAAUUCUAGAGCUAAUACAUGCGUAAAGUCCUAACUCUCACGGGAAGGGAUGUAUUUAUUAGAUACAAAACCAAUGCAGGUUCUGCCUGCCAUUGUGUUGAAUCAUAGUAACAAUCGAACGGCAUAGCCUUGUGCUGGCCGUAGAUCAAUCAAAUUUCUGCCCUAUCAGCUUUAGACGGUAGUGUAGUGGACUACCGUGGCGUUAACGGGUAACGGGGAAUUAGGGUUCGAUUCCGGAGAGGGAGCCUGAGAAACGGCUACCACAUCCAAGGAAGGCAGCAGGCGCGCAAAUUACCCAAUCCAGACACUGGGAGGUAGUGACAAAAAAUAACAAUACCUGGCCUAAUUAGGUCGGGUAAUUGGAAUGAGUACAAUUUAAAUCCCUUAACGAGGAUCAAUUGGAGGGCAAGUCUGGUGCCAGCAGCCGCGGUAAUUCCAGCUCCAAGAGCAUAUAUUAAAGUUGUUGCAGUUAAAAAGCUCGUAGUUGGAUUUCUGGUUUAAUGCACCUGGCCCGCAGCCCUCAAGGCUUGUGAGUGCCGGCGCGCGUUUACCAUCUUUCUAGGUUUGCACUCUCCCAUUUACUUGGCGGAGUUGCAAUUCUCUAGAUCUUUUACUUUGAAAAAAUUAGAGUGUUUAAAGCAGGCUUUUGCCUAAAUACAUUAGCAUGGAAUAAUAAUCUAGGACUUCGGUUCUAUUUUGUUGGUUUAUAAAACUGAAGUAAUGAUUGAUAGGGACAGUUGGGGGUGCUAGUAUUGGCCGGCCAGAGGUGAAAUUCUUGGAUUCGGUCAAGACUAACUUAUGCGAAAGCAUUCACCAAGGAUGUCUUCUUUAAUCAAGAACGAAAGUUGGGGGAUCGAAGACGAUCAGAUACCGUCGUAGUCUCAACCAUAAACUAUGCCAACUAGGGAUGGGUGAACGUUGCAUUUUCGACUUCAUCCGCACCUUAUGAGAAAUCAAAGUCUUUGGGUUCCGGGGGGAGUAUGGUCGCAAGGCUGAAACUUAAAGGAAUUGACGGAAGGGCACCACCAGGAGUGGAGCCUGCGGCUUAAUUUGACUCAACACGGAAA